This 233-nucleotide ribosomal RNA is filed under the name uncultured bacterium. RNAcentral's name for it is "partial 16S ribosomal RNA". It matches the Rfam family "Bacterial small subunit ribosomal RNA", at positions 100 to 334 of the family's 1533-position model. The record is from RNAcentral.
CGGGACGGGUGAGUAAUGUCUGGGAAACUGCCUGAUGGAGGGGGAUAACUGCUGGAAACGGUAGCUAAUACCGCAUAACGUCGCAAGACCAAAGAGGGGGACCUUCGGGCCUCUUGCCAUCGGAUGUGCCCAGAUGGGAUUAGCUAGUAGGUGGGGUAACGGCUCACCUAGGCGACGAUCCCUAGCUGGUCUGAGAGGAUGACCAGCCACACUGGAACUGAGACACGGUCCGG